Molecule: unclassified non-coding RNA, 473 nt
Filed under: Hevea brasiliensis (rubber tree)
Lineage: Eukaryota; Viridiplantae; Streptophyta; Magnoliopsida; Malpighiales; Euphorbiaceae
Source: RNAcentral
GCUGUCCUGCAUGCCAAAUAUCUAAUAUCUUCUCAAAUUUGCUCACACCACCUAAUGCUUUUGCCACAGCUGCAAAUUGGCAAUGUCAUGAAAAUGAUGGCGCUUGAUUUGUAGAGGCCAAAAACACGGGUUUGUUACAAAUUACAUGAAAAAGAAAUUAUAUAUGAAGAUUUAAAGGUAUCAGGUAUCAUACUAAAAUAUGAAUAGGCUUAGAUCAAUUGGUACACCUCCAAGAAUUGUAGACAAGAAUUAUGGAUUCAAAAGCAAAACCUUAGCAAGAAUAAAAUGGUUCCACCAGUAGUAUUGCCAAAAACAUUUAAGUACAUGUCUCAUUAAUUACAUAGGAAAAAAAAUCCCCAUCCCUACGACUAAAUAUGUGAAUAUUUGCGAGGAAAACAUGUUAAUCUUCACUAGGUUUUAGGAUUCUGAAUUAAAAACAGCAAACUUACUCUUCUGCAACUCCUCUGGUGUCA